UUUACAUUUGAGUGAGUGGCGAACUGGUGAGUAACACGUGGGAAACCUGCCCAGAAGCGGGGGAUAACACCUGGAAACAGAUGCUAAUACCGCAUAACAACUUGGACCGCAUGGUCCGAGYUUGAAAGAUGGCUUCGGCUAUCACUUUUGGAUGGUCCCGCGGCGUAUUAGCUAGAUGGUGRGGUAACGGCUCACCAUGGCAAUGAUACGUAGCCGACCUGAGAGGGUAAUCGGCCACAUUGGGACUGAGACACGGCCCAAACUCCUACGGGAGGCAGCAGUAGGGAAUCUUCCACAAUGGACGAAAGUCUGAUGGAGCAACGCCGCGUGAGUGAAGAAGGGUUUCGGCUCGUAAAACUCUGUUGUUAAAGAAGAACAUAUCUGAGAGUAACUGUUCAGGUAUUGACGGUAUUUAACCAGAAAGCCACGGCUAACUACGUGCCAGCAGCCGCGGUAAUACGUAGGUGGCAAGCGUUGUCCGGAUUUAUUGGGCGUAAAGCGAGCGCAGGCGGUUUUUUAAGUCUGAUGUGAAA
RNAcentral lists this ribosomal RNA (533 nucleotides) under Lactiplantibacillus plantarum. Its description in RNAcentral is "bacterial SSU rRNA". Lineage: Bacteria; Bacillati; Bacillota; Bacilli; Lactobacillales; Lactobacillaceae. The record is from RNAcentral.